This 89-nucleotide transfer RNA is filed under the name Deltaproteobacteria bacterium. RNAcentral's name for it is "tRNA-Ser". It matches the Rfam family "tRNA". Rfam says of the family: Transfer RNA (tRNA) molecules are approximately 80 nucleotides in length. Their secondary structure includes four short double-helical elements and three loops (D, anti-codon, and T loops). Lineage: Bacteria; Pseudomonadati; Myxococcota; Myxococcia. The record is from RNAcentral.
GGAGAGAUGUCCGAGUGGCUUAAGGAGCACGAUUGGAAAUCGUGUGUGGGCAACACCCACCGGGGGUUCGAAUCCCCCUCUCUCCGCCA